This 393-nucleotide long non-coding RNA is filed under the name Xyrichtys novacula (pearly razorfish). The record is from RNAcentral. Lineage: Eukaryota; Metazoa; Chordata; Actinopteri; Labriformes; Labridae.
CCAGAGUCUGCUGUUCUCAGGGUGGCUUCACCCAGGACGCCGUCCAUUCUACAUACAGUCUAUGGAUAAGACCGGGAAGUAUGUAUUUUUUUUGUCUCAUGUGAAUAUACUUUGUUUCUUGGGGCUUUAUUUUAUGUAUACAAUGUUAAUAUGAUUCUUUUGUGUAUUUAUAUGUUCAGGAUGACCACUUCAAACAAACUUGAGCACGUGAGGAAAAAAUGUCACCUCGGGUCCUCUCAGUAGAGCGGGUCCUCGCAGUGGAGGUUUGAAGCCAGACCCCUCUCCCUUGCAUCUGCUGUGUAUGUGGUCAUGUAAAUGGGGACCCAUGUUCAGGUAAGCCUGAAAACAUGCACCUGAAUCUCUAACCCUUAGGCCAAGAUUUGCAAAUGCUGG